RNAcentral lists this transfer RNA (75 nucleotides) under Trieres regia. Its description in RNAcentral is "Odontella regia tRNA-His". It matches the Rfam family "tRNA". From Rfam's summary of the family: Transfer RNA (tRNA) molecules are approximately 80 nucleotides in length. Lineage: Eukaryota; Bacillariophyta; Thalassiosirophyceae; Eupodiscales; Parodontellaceae. The record is from RNAcentral.
GGUAGGUGUAACUCAGUUGGUUAGAGUAUUAGAUUGUGAUUCUAAGAGUCACGGGUUCAAAUCCCGUCAUUUACC